Misgurnus anguillicaudatus (oriental weatherfish) is the source of this 4829-nucleotide RNA transcript. It is a transcript of the gene named ELKS/RAB6-interacting/CAST family member 1a, with no coding region annotated. Lineage: Eukaryota; Metazoa; Chordata; Actinopteri; Cypriniformes; Cobitidae. The record is from RefSeq and is a predicted model, not a curated record.
GUACAUGUAGGCCUAUUAUAAAGGGAUUAAACGCCACCAACAGGCGUUGUACGUCUGAUGUCUAUAAAUUUACUUGAAAAAAUUUACCUUAAAAUUUAGGAGCUGUUCAAUGUUUAGAAUGCAGGUUAAAACAUAGUAAAUAAAAAAUAUAAAUGACACACGGAAUUCAUCAAUUAAUUAAAUUAUCUCAAUAUUUUUGUCCACUUUUGUUAAAUUGCAUAAAAUAAAAAAUAACCAAUUUGGAAUAUAUUUUAUAUGUUAUCUAUUCACUGAGAGUCACUGAAACGUGCAUAAAACAAAAAAUACGGUCGGACUGCGUUGUUUUUCUGUAUUUAAAAAUGUAUUUAAACGCGAAACAACCUAACUUAUCUAUCAAGAAAUCUAUCACGAUUUGCAACUUAUUUUUAACGUGACCUUCGGAGCAUGGCGUUGGCAUUUCAGAUCGAGGCGAAUGUUGUGAGCGCGCAGCGUAGGCGUUACGUCACUGAAGUCCUCGAGCUCUGGGAAGAUGCUGCUGUAUGUCUGCAAAUAAUAAAAUGUUAAAGCAAUACAAAGGGAAAUAGGCCGCUACCCUUCCAUCACACAUCUUUUGGACAGAGGGUCGUUCCGUAUCGGAUGAAAUACAUCAGCCAUACGAGGGUCCAAUAGUUGCCCAAUCUCAGCCUUUGCUGGCCAGAUAAAGCACACAGAUUCCUUUAAAACACAUGAGAUGAAGAUGACGUGGCCCGUUUAAUAGCACACUCCUAUAUCUUUAUUUUUGGAGGGUUACCCUUGCCUGAACUCUAAACCUGCCAAUAUGUAUGGAAGUUCACGCUCAGUGAGCAAAAUAGACAGUAAUCACAGUGGAGGUAGAAAUAACCAGGGCAACACGGGACGCUCACCCCGUCUGCCUCGGUCACCCCGCAUGGGCCACCGUCGCACCAACAGCAUGGGGGGCAGCGGGGGAGGCCCAGGAGGCUCUGGAGGCAAAACAUUGUCUAUGGAGAACAUUCAAUCUCUCAACGCUGCCUACGCGACAUCAGGGCCGAUAUACAUGAGUGACAACGAAGUCGCAAUCGGCACCUCAUCCGAUCUGCCCAAGGGUGGGGUGACGACGGGCCGUUUCGGUGGCAGCAUCCCUUAUAGUGUCAGAGGGGCGGUGAUGGGCAGCACCCCUGACAUGGCAAUGGUGCCGGCAGUGUCGACCGACUCCAUGGGCUUUGGAGGGGAGAUCCAUGCGGCAUCAACUGUUCCUCACUCCCUACGUCAGGCGAGGGACAACACCAUCAUGGAGCUGCAAGCCCAGCUCAAGGAGGUGCUGAGGGAAAACGAGCUUCUCCGGAAAGAGAUUGAAGUGAAGGAGAGCAAGCUCAGCUCUUCCAUGAGCUCCAUCAAAAGCUUCUGGAGCCCAGAGCUGAAGAAAGAGCGUGCGCUACGCAAAGAUGAGGCCUCCAAAAUAGUGGUGUGGAAGGAACAGUACCGCGCAGUGCAAGAUGAGACACAGCACCUGCAGACGGCAGUGCAGGCGCUGCAGGCCGAGCUGCGCAUUCAGCGUGACUUAAACCAGCUGCUGCAGCCACCCGGGGAGCCGCUGGCCUGCGAGCCCAGCGAUGAGCAAGAAAGGCAGGCUCGAGAGCUUUUCUUACUCCGCCGUACCCUUGAGGAGAUGGAGGUUCGCUUGGAGACCCAGCGUCAGACGCUUGCUGCUCGCGACGAGUCGGUCAAAAAGCUCCUGGAGAUGUUGCACAGCAAAGGCCCCGCCACUAAAAUCAGCGAGGAAGAUCACGAGCGAACGUGCCGCCUCGCAGAUGCCGAGAUGCACGCACACCACCUGGAGAACCUUCUAGAACAGCGUGACAAAGAGCUAGCAGCUUUGAGAGAGGAGCUGCAUCGCCGUCUCGAGGGGACGCCAGAGACUACAAAAACCAAGGCUCUUCAGACUGUCAUUGAGAUGAAGGAUUCUCAGAUCGGUUCUCUGGAGCGAGGUCUCAGAGAGCUGGAGGAUCAAGUCAUGAUGCUACGAUCCAGCAGCAUGCUCAGCUGUGAAGAACGGCAGGAGGAGGCCAAGCAGAUGGAGGUGUACCGCAACCACACCAAGUUCAUGAAGAACAAGAUGGACCAAGUUAAGCAAGAUCUUUCCAGGAAGGACAGCCAGCUCCUCGGCUUGCAGACCAAGUUGGAGACCCUGACCAACCAGUUUUCUGACAGCAAACAGCAUAUUGAAGUGCUCAAAGAGUCCCUGACUGCCAAAGAACAGCGUGCUGCCAUAUUACAGACUGAGGUGGAUGCUCUGCGGUUGCGUCUGGAAGAGAAAGAGACCACGCUAAACAAGAAAAGCAAGCAGAUCCAGGAAAUGUCAGAGGAAAAGAGCACGCUCAACGGAGAAAUCCACGAUCUUAAGGACAUGCUGGACGUCAAGGAGCGAAAAGUCAACGUACUUCAGAAAAAAAUUGAAAACCUGCAGGAGCAGCUGAGGGAUAAAGAGAAGCAGAUGGGCAGCCUUAGAGAGAGGGUGAAAUCCCUACAAACAGAUACAUCUAAUACAGACACAGCCCUCACCACACUGGAGGACUCGCUGGCUGAGAAGGAACGUAUUAUUGAGCGCCUGAAGGAGCAACGUGACCGCGAGGAGAGGGAGAAAGCAGAAGAGCUGGACAGCAGUAAAAAAGAGCUGAGAGAGUUGAAGGAGAAAGUCAGCAUGCUGCAGGGCGACCUGUCAGACCGCGAGACCUCUCUGCUGGAUCUUAAAGAGCAUGCAUCUUCGCUGGCCUCGUCCGGCCUGAAGAAAGACUCUAAACUGAAAAGCCUAGAGAUCGCUCUUGAACAACGGAGGGAGGAGUGCAUCAAGCUUGAGAACCAACUGAAGAAGGCCCAGAGCGCCGCAGCCAACUCACAUGCCAACUCUGAGCUAUCCGAGCGCAUUUCUUCACUGGAAGCCGAUGUAGGGAGGCACAGGGAGGACUCUGCUAAAGCUCAGGCUGAAGUCGAUCGGCUGCUGGACAUCCUGCGUCAGAUGGAGAAUGAGAAGAAUGACAAGGAUAGAAAAAUCAGCGAGCUUGAGAGCGUGGCUUCCAGGCAAAUAAAAGAGCAGACAAAGAAACCUUCAGGCAAACACAAGGAGCCUCCAGGAAAGGGCCGAAAUGUCAAUGAUGGCCCGCAGCAGGAAUCCUUGCGGCAGAAGGUGGAGCGCAUUGAGGAGCUGGAGGAGGCACUGAGAGAAAGCGUUCAAAUGACUGCGGAGAGAGAGCUGGUGCUGGCACAAGAGGAAGCAGCGAGAAACCACCAGGAGAAACAGAUGGAGGAGCUGCUCGGAGCGAUGGAGAAAGUGAAGCUGGAACUUGAGUCCAUGAAGGCUAAGAUGUCAUCCACCCAACAGUCUCUGGCAGAGAAAGAAGCUCAUCUGACCACACUGAGGGCCGAGAGGAGGAGACACCUGGAAGAAGUGCUAGAGAUGAAACAGGAGGCUCUGCUGGCUGCCAUUAGCGAAAAGGACGCUAACAUAGCCCUGCUGGAGCUGUCCUCGUCUAAAAAAAAGAAAACACAAGAGGAAGUGGCUCAGCUCCGAAGAGAGAAAGAUCGGUUAGUGCAGCAACUCAAAAUGCAGACACAGAAUCGGAUGAAGCUAAUGGCGGAUAAUUAUGACGACGGCUACUUGAAAACCCCACCAGACCAGACCAAUCACAAGCCUCCUAAAUCACCUGAUCAGAUAAGAUCUGGGCGGAAAGCCGGAGUGCACAGGAGCUCUACACUGGCCAUCUGAUUAUCCCGUACAACCACGCCACACCCUUUAUACCUACAGAAUCAUCUCAGCCUACAUCUUAUCACACCCGUUGUCCAGGACCUCACCCACAAAGACAUUACAUUCAUAUAUUCACAGUGGGAGCUGAAGUUUGGAUCUUUGGACCCUGCAUUGGAUCUCCGGAAUUGGGGCAGUCACGAUCAAACCCUCCUCUACCCUCGCAUCUCAUCUGAACAAUCCAAAACCAUAAAAGAGCCUCAAACGGUUUCUAGUCUUAAUACUGGUGCAGAUUUGAAAAUAUGCAGUGUUCGUUGAAUCGUGAAUGCAAUUUUUUAUUUCGUUUCUUGAUAUGUCAUCAUGGUUGAGUAUACACAGGUUUAGAAUGUUAAACUGAUCAAUGGGUGGUGCUAUAUAAACAUAACUGAAUGCCAAACUGUUGUACAACAAUAAAAAAAGUGUUAUGCUAAUUUAACUGCACUAAGUAUUAAGACUAUUGGAUUUCUACUAGAUUUAUUCGUCUGGUUCUGCUUUACUGAAUGACCCUUAACCUUUACCGAAAACUUAUAGGACACCUUCAAGAGCAUGACGUUAACAUGUAUAGAUAGUGAUCGUCUAUUUGUCACAACUGGCGUUAUGUCAGUGGACCAAAUUCAUUAACAGCUGCUAUAAGAAAUAGACAUAAAGUAUCAUAGUAGGAUAUAAAAAAACGUUGGUUGUGCUCAUGAAGGAGUCCAACAAAGGGUGUGUGAAAAACUUAAAAAAAAACAACCUUUAUGAACGUACUGUUUCGGUUCCUGAGGCCAUAGUCGUUUUUUAGAAAACCUUAGACAGGAUAUUGUAAGCUCUGAGAUAUCUUCAUAUCAUAUCCUGAUAGCCAGUUUCUGAGAACUCAUUGCUGGUCUUAUGAACUCUCAUAAACAUGGAUAUCAUUGUGUCUCAAAGUGGAUUUUUUAUGUUGCAUUUGUGCCUAUUGUCUUUGUGUGUUAUAAAAGAAUUGUUAGAAAAAAACGGAUAGUCCAUUGAAAAAAAAAAGAGUAAAGAUAAGAUCACGGGUAUGAGUGUUCUGACUUUGUAUAAAUGUGUAUGUAUAUAAAUAUGUAUGAUCAAUGUU